UUUUUUUCAUGCAUUCUUUAAAUUCAUAAUAAGGGAAAUAGUUACUAGAUACAUCCAGAUAUGUUUUAUAUACUCUUGGAAAGCCAUCUAAGAUUUUUUUUUUUGAUAGUUAUUGUAACAGCAGAGAUUUUCUAGAUGAGAAUAAAAAUCCUAGAAAGAAGAAAGCAGAUAUAUAAAAUUGUUUCAUAUAUGAUACAUAUGAGAAAGGCCAUUUUAAAGAAAUCUAAUUGACCAAACAGAUGAACUCAGAUUGAAAGUAUUUAUAAAGGCUAACAGAGCAGCAUAUAACCAAGAAUAAAUAUAUAUUAGAAAACUAGAAACAAUAAUUGCUCAAUAUCAUCUGCACUGAAUUAUUUUUCCAUCUUAAGUUUUAAGACUUAGAAAGUACUGAAAGUUUUUUAAAUGUUAGAGACC
This 414-nucleotide long non-coding RNA is filed under the name Bos taurus (domestic cattle). RNAcentral describes it as "long non-coding RNA NONBTAT009702". Lineage: Eukaryota; Metazoa; Chordata; Mammalia; Artiodactyla; Bovidae. The record is from RNAcentral.